AAAAUGAAUUGAGAGUAAAAUACGUUUUGGUUCUUCUUCUCAUUCUGCAGCAGGAGUCCUGUGUUGUGAUGUUGUUGGUGAAGCAACUAGUACGAGUAGUGCCUUGUCUUUCCAGUGGUGUGGCAAUAGCAAGAGGAGGGCUUCAAAUCUCCACCGGUCCGUAUACAGCAAAGCUCGGAUCAACUACACAUCGGUUAAUCCGCAGACUGAGCAACUCCUAUUCAUCCAACACGAUGGACACCGAAACGUAUGCAUUUGGGCCAUACAAGAUAGACCCAAAGGAAGUUUUCUACUCCACACAUCUUUCCUAUGCCAUGGUCAACCUCCGCCCUCUUCUUCCUGGCUUCAAAUCUCCACCGGUCCGUAUACAGCAAAGCUCGGAUCAACUACACAUCGGUUAAUCCGCAGACUGAGCAACUCCUAUUCAUCCAACACGAUGGACACCGAAACGUAUGCAUUUGGGCCAUACAAGAUAGACCCAAAGGAAGUUUUCUACUCCACACAUCUUUCCUAUGCCAUGGUCAACCUCCGCCCUCUUCUUCCUGGUCAUAUCCUUUUCUGUAUGUGUGCAUUGUCGUGCGGGGGAAACAAACUCACGACUAAUAUGCUAAUUUCAUGGAUUCAAUGAACGAUUAAGUGGGUAAAACGAAGAGAAAUUUCAAAUUUGGUAGUGUUUAUGAUUAUAUUGUGGGAAUCUGAGUACAUGUUACUAAUACUGCAUCCAGUUUUAGUAUUAAGAAAUACAAGUCUUCAGCAUGCCUAUUGUCUUACUGGCUGCUUAAACUUAAAACGCUGCACAUUUUUUCUGUGGUUAAACUUUAAGCGUAUCAACUUCAAAUGUAGUACAUCUAUAUGUUCUACUUCUGCAGCUAUGUUUUCUGUUUUCUAUGGGAGCCUACCAUAGUCCUGAAUAUGCCUGAAGUUGUUUUAAUGUGGCUCUCACAGUGUUCCAACUAGAAAAGUAACUGAUUUUCUUAUGCAAGGUAUCUGAACCUUGCACACUUUUAUUAGCUUUGAAUUUCUGUUGCGAUAAGAGUACUAGGUGGUUACUGGUACCAUGGAGAUACAGUUAUCUGUUUCAAGUUAGAACCUUCGUCUAGCUUUAUAACAAUGAUUUGAUUGACUUGACGUUAUACACAUGUGCUUGUGUGCCCAAGACGUGAAGUGAAGCGCUUCGUUGAUCUCACUGCUGAUGAGACAAGUGAUUUAUGGCUUACUGCACAAGAGGUUGGAAGCCAACUUGAGUCCUACCACAAGGCAUCCUCCCUCACAUUUGCAAUUCAAGAUGGACCCCAAGCUGGACAGACAGUACCGCAUGUUCACAUUCACAUCGUUCCGCGGAAAGGUGGUGACUUUGAGAAAAAUGAUGAGAUUUAUGAUGCUAUAGACAUGAAGGAGAAGGAACUGCAGCAGAAGCUUGAUUUGGACAAGGAGAGAAAAGACAGAAGCAUGGAGGAGAUGGCUGAAGAGGCACAAGAAUACAGAAAGCUUCUCUCCUAGAAACUUUUUACUGGCGCCCCGCGGAUAAUAGCUUGUGUAGAGCUCCGCCUGCGCAGCGACUUGUUUAACCAAUGGAUAUGGGUGAAGUCUUUUCUAUUAUUCCAAUUCUUGUCUAGUUGGUGUGUGUUGGAUACAGCUCCAAACUUGGUACACCUGCUUCGGUAGAACUUGACCAUUGCCGGCUUCUCAAGAUUCUCACAAAUAGAUGUUCUUACAAUUUUUCCAUUACAACCGAUGUUACAUUGCCUUUAGACACCCAGAACAGGGUGGAAACAGAUCUAUUCUACCAAGAGUUGUAAUCGGGGUUUACGUAUCGACAGACUACUGGUCAUUUCGGAGUCAGUCAAUUCUCCAAGUAAUUUCCGUCGUAUUAAAUCAGGGAACAAGGAUAUCGGGUUAUCAUCGAUAAUUUUUUCA
Coffea arabica (coffee) is the source of this 1917-nucleotide non-coding RNA. The record is from RefSeq and is a predicted model, not a curated record. Lineage: Eukaryota; Viridiplantae; Streptophyta; Magnoliopsida; Gentianales; Rubiaceae.